GUAGAUAAAUAGAUACUGCUGCGACGGGAAGGCAAACGGCGUUUCCGUGUGCUCUGGUUUCUGUCAAGAUGUCCCGUUGCUCCAGAAGCGGUUUAGUCCUGCUGGCCACAUGACCUAGAAAGCUGUCAGUGGACAAACGCUGGCUUCCUCGGCCUGAAAGCGAGAUUUAGCACCGCAAACCCCUGCGUCACCUUUGACUGGACUUAACCUUCCAGGGGUCCUUUAUCUUUUACCUUACCAAUAUGGAACCUUAUUUAAAGGAAAGGUAUAAGCAACACAGGUCAAGUAACAAAUAUAAACAACUAAGGGAUGCUUAAGUAGUUCAAGAAAGGAGACUGUUCCCAUUGCUUUGCUGGAACAAGGCUUAAUUAUAUCCAGCCUGAUUUCUUUUCAACCUGGGUUUCUGGUGUUACAGGAUGAAGAGAAACUGAAGGCAGCUCUGGUGAUAGGCUGCCUCCCAAUGUCAGGAACUGCCAUGGCGAAAUAAAUAGAAGACAGUGAGGUUGCGCCAGCGCCGGAAGAGGAAAAAACUUAAAACAGAUAGCAGAGUUCCCCCCAAAAAGACCAGAGGCAAUUGUACUUCAUCCAGUAGAGCUUUACCUGCUACUGAAGGCAAAUGAGCAUAAUGGUCACAAAUCCAAUACAUUCAGGAUUGGCACAGUCCAUAAAACUCCAGUUGCAGCACUUACAGUAACUUAGAAUGUCUAAACCUUAGCACUAAGCAUACUAUGUACAGAACACCACACCAGAAGGAAGAGCGAUAGAAAGAGAAAGUAAAACCCAGCCUCCUUCUGGCCUAUAUUUAUAGUCAGCAUGACUUGAAUUGGAAGAGGUAAGAGAAACAGAUCAAGCCAUCUGUACCCUCAGCUUCUCUGAAGGUAUAACCCAAACAGUCAUGAAGCUUCUUUCAUGCAGAGAAGCUUCCAGAAACUUCCAGAAACCUUUUGAAUGAAUUAGAAUUGGAAAGAUCUCUACACAUCAGAUCAGUACUUUCUGUACUAAGAAAUGCAAACCGACAAGUUAAACAAUGAUUUGUUUUGUAUUUCAAUACACUGUUUAACAUGUUAAAAUUAAACAUAGAUUUUUGAAGAAAGCAAAUGCCAAGUUAGGAAACAGUGUUGUUUCACUACUGAAACCUCAGAGCUGCUUUGAGGGUUCUUAAGACUAUAAAUUAGCCUAUAAGAAAAAAUAUUGCUACAAAGUAUGUGUUUACAUUUAUUAAACUGAAAACAUUCAACAGAGUUUUUUGUUUUAUACAGGCGUUAUGCAAAAUUACUCGCCACUCACCUAGUGUUUUCCAGAGUGUGAUUGAAAAGGUGGGAUUACCAGCAGUGAUACAUUCACUUGCAACUGGAAUAUACAAAGUUCAACAGCACAUGAUGACUAUGUUCUCUGCUAUGUUGUCAUGUGGAAUCCAUUUGCAAAGGCUGGUUCAGGAAAAGGUUUGUUUUAAACAUUUUCUUGUGUUACAAAUAUUUUUGAUAAACUUUUUUAAUUGACUGUUACUGUGUGCUGUACUAGAUUUUAAAGACAUCUCUAUAAACCGUCUAUAAAUUUUACAGUAGCCAGUUCAUAUUUUAGUUUUAAAUAAACAGGCAUAAGUGACCUUUCCAUUAAAGUGGUCUUCAAAAAAUUAUCAUAC
This is a non-coding RNA of Podarcis lilfordi (Lilford's wall lizard), 1642 nucleotides long. NCBI's taxonomy places the organism in Eukaryota, Metazoa, Chordata, Lepidosauria, Squamata, Lacertidae. The record is from the annotation of a GenBank genome assembly.